This 483-nucleotide ribosomal RNA is filed under the name uncultured bacterium. RNAcentral's name for it is "partial 16S ribosomal RNA". It matches the Rfam family "Bacterial small subunit ribosomal RNA", at positions 28 to 523 of the family's 1533-position model. The record is from RNAcentral.
GACGAACGCUGGCGGCGUGCUUAACACAUGCAAGACGAACGGAGAAAGCGGAGCUUGCUCCGCUGGAUCAGUGGCGAACGGGUGAGUAACACGAGGGCAACCUGCCCCCGACUUCGGGAUAACUCCUCGAAAGAGGUGCUAAUACCGGAUACGAAUCCUGCGGGCAUCUGCGGGAUUGGAAAGUUUUUCGGUCAGGGAUGGGCCCGGGGCCUAUCAGCUUGUUGGUGAGGUAGUGGCUCACCAAGGCGACGACGGGUAGCCGGCCUGAGAGGGCGACCGGCCACACUGGGACUGAGACACGGCCCAGACUCCUACGGGAGGCAGCAGUGGGGAAUAUUGCGCAAUGGGCGAAAGCCUGACGCAGCAACGCCGCGUGAGGGAUGACGGCCUUCGGGUUGUAAACCUCUUUCAGCAGGGAAGAAGCGAAAGUGACGGUACCUGCAGAAGAAGCACCGGCUAACUACGUGCCAGCCGCCGCCGUAA